This 166-nucleotide ribosomal RNA is filed under the name uncultured bacterium. RNAcentral's name for it is "partial 16S ribosomal RNA". It matches the Rfam family "Bacterial small subunit ribosomal RNA", at positions 1335 to 1500 of the family's 1533-position model. The record is from RNAcentral.
CUAGUAAUCGCGAAUCAGAAUGUCGCGGUGAAUACGUUCCCGGGUCUUGUACACACCGCCCGUCACACCAUGGGAGCUGGUAACACCCGAAGUCAGUAGUCUAACCGCAAGGAGGACGCUGCCGAAGGUGGGAUUAGCGACUGGGGUGAAGUCGUAACAAGGUACC